This 477-nucleotide ribosomal RNA is filed under the name uncultured bacterium. RNAcentral describes it as "partial 16S ribosomal RNA". It matches the Rfam family "Bacterial small subunit ribosomal RNA", at positions 29 to 507 of the family's 1533-position model. The record is from RNAcentral.
AUUGAACGCUGGCGGCAUGCCUUACACAUGCAAGUCGAACGGUAACAGGUUAAGCUGACGCGUGGCGAACGGGCGAGUAAUGUAUCGGAACGUGCCCAGUCGUGGGGGAUAACUGCUCGAAAGAGCAGCUAAUACCGCAUACGACCUGAGGGAGCAAGCGGGGGCUCGCAAGACCUCGCGCGAUUGGAGCGGCCGAUAUCAGAUUAGGUAGUUGGUGAGGUAAAGGCUCACCAAGCCGACGAUCUGUAGCGGGUCUGAGAGGACGACCAGCCACACUGGGACGGGGACACGGCCCAGACUCCUACGGGAGGCAGCGGUGGGGAAUUUUGGACAAUGGGCGCAAGCCUGAUCCAGCCAUGCCGCUGGCGGGAAGAGGUCCUUCGGGUUGUAAGCCGUUUUUGUCAGGGAAGAAAAGGGUCUGGCUAAUACCUGGGACUCGUGACGGUACCUGAAGAAUAAGCACCGGCUAACUACGUG